This 879-nucleotide small RNA is filed under the name Vigna angularis var. angularis. RNAcentral describes it as "Non-protein coding transcript". Lineage: Eukaryota; Viridiplantae; Streptophyta; Magnoliopsida; Fabales; Fabaceae. The record is from RNAcentral.
UUUAAAAAUGAUGAAAACAGCUUAAAACUAUUUAUAUUGAUAAUAAUAAUUCAUUCUGGUAUCAUCUCAGGGUUCCUGGACUAUUUAUAUUGAUACGUGUUUUCUUCCCGUGAAUGCCAUAUAAACGUUACACAGACAGAAAAGCGAUGUAUAUCUUUAAAUUGAUGUGAUGAUAUAUUCUAUCAUGCCUAUCCUAUCCAUAUUUGAAUAUCAUUAGGGACCAGCCAAUCAAAACCCCCAGGAAUGCCCCACGUACCAGACACACGCCAUCAUCGUCUGCAUCUGAUCAUACACAUACUUCACUCGCCAUUAUUCGUGCCACCACCACGUUUCAUCCAAACACACACAUAACAUACAUCAAAACAAAUGAAGAAUGAGUCCAAGCAAGCACUGAUUUAUUUCAUGAGUCUUUCACUCAAGCACCGACACUUUUGCCACCUAUAGCACUUUUCCUGUUCGUUGCUUGCCAUUACACUUCCCCGUACAAUGACACGUGGACCUAGCCUCAAAGCAAGCCGGGUUGCACGGACUUCCCAUGCACCCACCGGUAACUCGUUCCGUUUCAGCCAAAACCUCACCUCAAUUCCCUUCUUCAUUAAAAAAAAACACUUCGAAUUCCAGCUGGCAUUUAACCGCAACCCAAGACUGAGGAUGCAGUAACGGUCCCCAACUCCAGCUGUAUCCAACACUCACCGGGCGCACGCUCGCUAUCUUACGCCGAAACACAACUCGAUGAACACUCUCACUCACUCAUUUUCUUAGCAGAGAAAUAGAGAUAACAAAACAAUGGAGGAUCUAAGCAGCUUGGGAGGGAUGCUCUUUUGGUUCUCCCACGUCUUUGCGCUAGGAUAAAUCAAAUUAAAUUAGAAUUCAAUGUAG